Neltuma alba is the source of this 795-nucleotide long non-coding RNA. RefSeq lists it as uncharacterized. The record is from RefSeq and is a predicted model, not a curated record. NCBI's taxonomy places the organism in Eukaryota, Viridiplantae, Streptophyta, Magnoliopsida, Fabales, Fabaceae. The transcript is spliced from 3 exons.
UCUCCACCCCAUGCGCUAAUAUCCUAAUCCUGCUGUGCCAAUAAUUUUUGCCAUCCAUCGGCCGACGAGGAGGCAGAAAUUGAAUCGAUGAGGAAUCCAUCACACAAAUGGGCAUACAUUAGGAUCAUCACUGGAACAAUCGUCGGGGGCAUUCUUGGGUUCUACGUUAUGCAUCGCCUCGAAGCUAAUUAUAAGGAGAGAAUGAAUGAAAGACUGAGAAACUAUGAAGCCGAAUUGCAGAGGAAGAAGCAAGAGAGACUGAAUGAGUUUAAAGAAGAAUCGUCUUAGCCUUCCGAUUGAAUGCCACGCCUCUUCUUCGGGCCCCUGUUAGAAUUUUUCCCUAAUACUUUCAGCAAAAUCACCUCCAAGAGAAGACCUCAAGGCAGUGCGAUACACCCUUUUCAUUACAUCCCGGAGCUGAAUUGUUACUGCAGCUCAGUGUUUGAUCCAAAGGAUGGGUUAUGAUGGUAUUCGAACUAAAAGCUGCUUCAAGUCUUUGACUGUGCCUCAGACACCCAGGUUUAGAACUGCAUAAUCAAUGGACUUGUUUAAGAUUCUCGUCUUUGAUAACUCUUGUGAUGCUCAAAGUCUCAAAGAUAUUACAUUUCAUAAUGUAUCUGACAAUGUCAUUUAUUUUUCAAUAAACAUAGAACAAUGUAUAUAGUGUAUGUGGUGCAUUACUUGUACAUCCAAAUGCACGAUGAAGAGGGCCUGUCUUUAAGGUCAAAGUACUACAUCUGUUGAGACAUAUCUUCACUUUAAUGCUUGAUGUGGAUGAUAAAGCAAUUUAUACAA